Long non-coding RNA from Gossypium raimondii (Peruvian cotton), 469 nucleotides. RefSeq lists it as uncharacterized. NCBI's taxonomy places the organism in Eukaryota, Viridiplantae, Streptophyta, Magnoliopsida, Malvales, Malvaceae. The transcript is spliced from 3 exons. The record is from RefSeq and is a predicted model, not a curated record.
UUUUCCGAUUUUUCCAGCGUUCUCCCUUCUCUACACUCUCGUUCUCCCUCCUCCUCUCUACACCGAUCUGGUUUCGUUCUCCCUUGAUUUGGUUUCGGGCUCCUUUUCCCCCCUUGAUUUCUUCUUCUUUUUAUAAAUUGAUUUGGGGAUUUUCUGCUUGUUUUUGUCUGAGAUCUUGCUUGGGUUUUCUACUAGUUUGGUUGUGCUGUUUGGCUUGUCUUGGGCAGACUUUCUUCACAGACUUGCUUUAAAAAGCCAUUUCAUAUCUUUCAAGCCUUCCCUCCCAAAGCAGGCCAAGGUGAGGAUCUUUGACUGGUUGUGAGAAGUGAAAGAAAAGCUGGUAAAUGAAACUUGCAUUUGUGCCGUAGAGCCUCAUUCGGAGGCAUAGCUUUUAACACGCUCUUAUAUAGAAAAUAGUCAUAAUUGAGCAUAAUGCAAUUUCAGUUCAAUAUUUCAUUUCAUUUAUCAA